RNAcentral lists this ribosomal RNA (462 nucleotides) under uncultured bacterium. Its description in RNAcentral is "bacterial SSU rRNA". It matches the Rfam family "Bacterial small subunit ribosomal RNA", at positions 28 to 507 of the family's 1533-position model. The record is from RNAcentral.
GACGAACGCUGGCGGCGUGCCUAACACAUGCAAGUCGAACGGAGUUGAUCCUUCGGGAUUAACUUAGUGGCGGACGGGUGAGUAACGCGUGGGUAACCUGCCGUAUGCUGGGGGACAACAGUUGGAAACGACUGCUAAUACCGCAUAAGCGCACAGUACCGCAUGGUAUAGUGUGAAAAACUCCGGUGGCAUACGAUGGACCCGCGUCUGAUUAGCUAGUUGGUGAGGUAACGGCUCACCAAGUCGACGAUCGGUAGCCGACCUGAGAGGGUGAUCGGCCACAUUGGGACUGAGACACGGCCCAAACUCCUACGGGAGGCAGCAGUGGGGAAUAUUGGGCAAUGGGCGAAAGCCUGACCCAGCAACGCCGCGUGAAGGAAGAAGGUCUUCGGAUCGUAAACUUCUGUCCUAAGUGAAGAGCAGAAGACGGUAACUUAGGAGGAAGCCCCGGCUAACUACGUG